AAAACGGAGAGUUUGAUCCUGGCUCAGGAUGAACGCUGGCGGUAUGCUUAACACAUGCAAGUCGAACGGGAUGCUUAGGCAUCUAGUGGCGGACGGGUGAGUAACG
RNAcentral lists this ribosomal RNA (106 nucleotides) under Cylindrospermopsis raciborskii CENA302. RNAcentral's name for it is "partial 16S ribosomal RNA". It matches the Rfam family "Bacterial small subunit ribosomal RNA", at positions 1 to 115 of the family's 1533-position model. RNAcentral also lists the same sequence under 4 other names. The record is from RNAcentral. Lineage: Bacteria; Bacillati; Cyanobacteriota; Cyanophyceae; Nostocales; Aphanizomenonaceae.